ACCUUCUUGGUGUAAUGGUCAGCACACUCGGCGCGUAUUCGAGAGGUCCGUGGUUCGAAUCCCGGCGAGGGCA
Molecule: transfer RNA, 73 nt
Filed under: Stegodyphus mimosarum
Lineage: Eukaryota; Metazoa; Arthropoda; Arachnida; Araneae; Eresidae
Rfam family: tRNA
About the family: Transfer RNA (tRNA) molecules are approximately 80 nucleotides in length.
Source: Rfam by way of RNAcentral